RNAcentral lists this transfer RNA (69 nucleotides) under Cardiocondyla obscurior. RNAcentral describes it as "tRNA-Gln". The record is from RNAcentral. Lineage: Eukaryota; Metazoa; Arthropoda; Insecta; Hymenoptera; Formicidae.
UAUAAAUUAAUGUAAGGGGCAUAAAAAUUUUUGAUAUUUUUAGAAAUAGUUUAAUUCUAUUAUUUAUAA